This 86-nucleotide non-coding RNA is filed under the name Bacillus coahuilensis. Its description in RNAcentral is "c-di-GMP sequence". It matches the Rfam family "c-di-GMP-I riboswitch aptamer". From Rfam's summary of the family: GEMM was predicted in a large-scale screen for bacterial structured RNA regulatory elements. Genes associated with GEMM are involved in a diverse array of functions, including chemotaxis regulation, signal transduction, secretion and chitin. RNAcentral also lists the same sequence under 1 other name. Lineage: Bacteria; Bacillati; Bacillota; Bacilli; Caryophanales; Bacillaceae. The record is from RNAcentral.
UAUUGAAAAAGGCAAACUUAUCGAAAGAUAAGGACGCAAAGCUACGAGUCUAAAGUCCUGUAGGAUAUGAUAGUCGGGUUGCCAAA